UUGUUUUUAUUUCGUGUCAUUUUGAUUAUCACAAAAUGGAAUGGGUUGAAGAUGAUAGAUAGGUAGAAAUUGAGAUUUUAUUUUUAUAGAUUCAUUUGGGAUGUGAAGGGGUUUGCUUUAGUUUUAGAGUUAAUUAAUACUUAUACUUUGAAAAAUAGAAUUUUU
This is a non-coding RNA of Caenorhabditis elegans, 165 nucleotides long. The record is from Ensembl. NCBI's taxonomy places the organism in Eukaryota, Metazoa, Nematoda, Chromadorea, Rhabditida, Rhabditidae.